UAAUCCCAAGCCUAUCACAACCAAAGAAAACAUAAUACUUGCAUCAGAACAGAUGAGGUAAUGUAUGCAGUGCCAUUUACAACAUAGUGUGCCAAAUUCCUGAUCUGACAAGAAGUAAUUAAAUAAUAUCUUCUUUCACCAAUCAAAAGUUGCAAGUCCUUCAGUUUCAAUAUAACUUGACUAAAUUUCUUAGACUACUGACACAAGUGUAACAGCAGAAAACUUUGGUCAGUAAAACAAUAUCUUUUAAUGUUCACCCUAUAUGUAGCUAGUAAAAGUUCAAUGCCACAGGCAUGUACAAGUACUGACUACUGAAGACGCGUGAAGCCUAGGCAUAAAGCAAUGGUGCACGCCCAAGAGGCACGCAUCUUUGAAAUAAGGUUCUUUUUAUGCCAACAUUUUUUUCAUUUUGCCUUUCUUACCACAAAUCAAGACUUGCUCCAAUCAUCAACAUAGUUAUUAACAUAAUAAGGUUAAUUAUGUUAAAAACAAAGUUACCCAAGAAAAAGCCAUAAAACUUAAAAUUUAUAACAAUUUACAUGAGAAAGAAAUAAAAUGCAAGAUAA
Molecule: unclassified non-coding RNA, 566 nt
Filed under: Hevea brasiliensis (rubber tree)
Lineage: Eukaryota; Viridiplantae; Streptophyta; Magnoliopsida; Malpighiales; Euphorbiaceae
Source: RNAcentral